AACGCGAAGAACCUUACCUGGGUUUGACAUGCACAGGACGCCAGUAGAGAUAUUGGUUCCCUUGUGGCCUGUGUGCAGGUGGUGCAUGGCUGUCGUCAGCUCGUGUCGUGAGAUGUUGGGUUAAGUCCCGCAACGAGCGCAACCCUUGUCUCAUGUUGCCAGCACGUAAUGGUGGGGACUCGUGAGAGACUGCCGGGGUCAACUCGGAGGAAGGUGGGGAUGACGUCAAGUCAUCAUGCCCCUUAUGUCCAGGGCUUCACACAUGCUACAAUGGCCGGUACAAAGGGCUGCGAUGCCGUGAGGUGGAGCGAAUCCUUUCAAAGCCGGUCUCAGUUCGGAUCGGGGUCUGCAACUCGACCCCGUGAAGUCGGAGUCGCUAGUAAUCGCAAAUCAGCAACGCUGCGGUGAAUACGUUCCCGGGCCUUGUACACACCG
Molecule: ribosomal RNA, 435 nt
Filed under: uncultured bacterium
Lineage: Bacteria
Description: bacterial SSU rRNA
Rfam family: Bacterial small subunit ribosomal RNA
Source: RNAcentral